RNAcentral lists this transfer RNA (70 nucleotides) under Salmo salar (Atlantic salmon). It matches the Rfam family "tRNA". From Rfam's summary of the family: Transfer RNA (tRNA) molecules are approximately 80 nucleotides in length. Lineage: Eukaryota; Metazoa; Chordata; Actinopteri; Salmoniformes; Salmonidae. The record is from Rfam by way of RNAcentral.
UCCCGUGUGGCUCAGUUGGUAGAGCAUGGUGUUUGCAACGCCAGGGUUGUGGGUUCGAUUCCCAUGGGAG